This 1362-nucleotide ribosomal RNA is filed under the name metagenome. Its description in RNAcentral is "SSU rRNA". It matches the Rfam family "Eukaryotic small subunit ribosomal RNA", at positions 385 to 1801 of the family's 1831-position model. The record is from RNAcentral.
GGAGAGGGAGCAUGAGAAACGGCUACCACAUCUAAGGAAGGCAGCAGGCGCGUAAAUUACCCAAUCCUGACUCAGGGAGGUAGUGACAAGAAAUAGCAAACCGGGGAUCUCACGAUCUUACGGUAUUGCAAUGAGAACAAUUUAAAACACUUAGCGAGGAACAAAUUGAGGACAAGUCUGGUGCCAGCACCCGCGGUAAUUCCAGCUCAAUUAGCGUAUAUUAAAGUUGUUGCAGUUAAAAAGCUCGUAGUUGAACCUCUGUUUGGGACUAAUUUUGGCUUCUGUCAGGUUAGUUUCAAGCAUCCGCUUGCAAAACCUAGCCGUCAUUCACUUGUCGCUAGGAGGAGCAGGCAUUUUACUUUGAAAAAAUUAGAGUGUUUAAGGCAGGCAAUUGCCCGCAUAUAUUAGCAUGGAAUAAUAGAAUAGGACACUUUUCCAUUUCGUUGGUUAUUGGAAUCGUGUAAUGAUUAAUAGGGACAGUUGUGGGCAUUUGUAUUUAAUUGUCAGAGGUGAAAUUCUUGGAUUUAUUAAAGACAAACUAACGCGAAAGCAUUUGCCAAGGAUGUUUUCAUUAAUCAAGAACGAAAGUUAGGGGAUCAAAGACGAUCAGAUACCGUCAUAGUCUUAACUAUAAACUAUUCCGACUCAAUGUUCGACUGGCUUAUAUAACCAGUUGAGCGUUGUAUGAGAAAUCAAAGUCUUUAGGUUCUGGGGGGAGUAUGGUUGCAAAGCUGAAACUUAAAGGAAUUGACGGAAGAGCACAACCAGGAGUGGAUUCUGCGGCUUAAUUUGACUCAACACGGGGAAACUUACCAGGUUAAAACAAUAGUGGGAUUGACAGUUUGAGAGCGCUUUCUUGAUUCGUUGGGUGGUGGUGCAUGGCCGUUCUUAGUUGGUGGAGUGAUUUGUCUGCUUAAUUGCGUUAACGAACGAGACCUUAACCUGCUUACUAGACUGCCGAUGUAUAAUCGACAGCUCUUCUUAGAGGGACUUUGGUUGUUUUAACUCCAAGGAAGUUUGAGGCAAUAACAGGUCUGUGAUGCCCUUAGAUAUCCUGGGCCGCACGCGUCAUACAAUGACCAGUUCAGAAAGUUUCAUCCUGAUCCGGAAGGAUACGGGUAAUCUUGACAGUACUGGUCGUGUUAGGGAUCGAUCUUUGCAAUUAUAGAUUUUGAACGAGGAAUUCCUAGUAAGUGCAGUUCAUCAGACUGUACUGAUUACGUCCCUGCUCUUUGUACACACCGCCCGUCGCUUCUACCGAGUGAGUGGUCCGGUGAGAUACUUGAACUUGGCCGGAUUUAUCCGAUCGGGGAAGAUUAUCAAACCUAUCCACUUCGAGGAAGAAGAAGUCGUAACAAGGUU